Molecule: unclassified non-coding RNA, 223 nt
Filed under: Hevea brasiliensis (rubber tree)
Lineage: Eukaryota; Viridiplantae; Streptophyta; Magnoliopsida; Malpighiales; Euphorbiaceae
Source: RNAcentral
GCCGCCUGCGGUCUUGCGGGCGGUAUGGAUCUGCCGUCGUCGGUGGCGCCUUUCAUUUUGCGCGGGGUGUGCCUUUUGGGCAUCGAUUCCGUGAUGUGCCCGAUUGGCCCGCGCAAGGCCGCCUGGGAGCGGCUGGCGAAGGACAUUGAUCAUGCGAAACUUGCUGAAAUGACUAAGGAAAUCGGCCUCGGCGACGUCUUCGACGCAGGCCCGAAAAUUCUCG